Molecule: ribosomal RNA, 2889 nt
Filed under: Triticum aestivum (bread wheat)
Lineage: Eukaryota; Viridiplantae; Streptophyta; Magnoliopsida; Poales; Poaceae
Description: partial small subunit ribosomal RNA
Source: RNAcentral
AUGCGCUAUAAAUAUACUGGCUGGAAGGUAGAAGCUGCAGUUUGGAAAAUGGAGGGUGCAAUCAUCAGCUUGACCGAGGGCGCCGUGCGAGGCCUCCUGUGCAAGCUCGGCGGCCUCCUCGCGCAGGAGAGCUGGCCGGUGCAGCGCCUCCACGGCGAGGUCCAGUACAUCAAGGACGAGCUCGAGAGCAUGACCGCCUUCCUCCGUAGUCUGGCCGAAUCGUCCGACGGCCACGACGACCAGGUCCGGGUCUGGGUGAAGCAGGUGAGGGAGAUCGCCUACGACGCCGAGGACUGCAUCGACGACUACGUCCGCGGCCGCCAGCCGUUCGACAGGGACGGCGGCGCCGUCAUGGCGUCCCUCCGCCGCUUUGUCCGUCUGCUCGCCACGCUAGGAUCAGGCGGUGGUGGUCGCCGUCACCGGCGCAUGGCGGCCCAGCUCCAAGAACUGAAGACUCGCGCCAGGGACGCCGGCGAGCGGCGUUCCAGGUACGGGGUGCUGCCGCCAAAGACGGCGCUCGGGCGUGCCAGCAGCCACGCGUCCAGCUCCGGCGUCUCCGGCCGCCUGGACCCGCGGCUGCACGCCCUCUUCACCGAGGAGGCGCAGCUGGUGGGCAUCGACGGGCCGAGGGACGAGCUCGUGGGCUGGCUGAUGGAGGACGACGCGCGGCUCCGGGUGCUCGCCGUCGUCGGGUUCGGUGGGCUCGGCAAGACCACGCUGGCGAGGAUGGUGUGCGAGAACCCGCGGGUGAAGAGCGCUGACUUUCAGUGCUCCCCGUUCCUCAUCGUGUCGCAGACGCUAAACGUCAGGGCGCUGUUCCUGCACAUGCUCAGGGAACUGAUCCAGCGGCCGCGCCUGGCUGCCGGCGACGAUACCAUGGAUGAUAGCUUGCACGGGGCGGAGAGCUGGGAAACGGCGCUGCUGGCCAACAAGCUCAAACUUUACCUGCAAGACAAAAGGUACAUUGUGAUUCUUGAUGACAUAUGGACUUCAUCAGCAUGGGAGAACAUCAGAUGUGUGUUUCCUGACAAUGAAAAAGGAAGCAGAAUUAUAGUGACCACCAGGAACGAGGAUGUCGCUAAUACAUGUUGUUGUCAUUCCCAAGAUCGGAUUUACAAAAUUCAACGCCUAUCUGAGAUUGCAUCACGUGAGCUAUUCUUCAAGAGGAUCUUUGGCUUAGUAGAUGGAUUGCCAAACAAUGAGUUGGAAGAAGUUUCAAAUGUCAUACUCAAGAAAUGUGGGGGGUUACCAUUAGCCAUAGUCAGCAUUGGUAGCCUUCUCGCUAGCAAACCAAACAGAACCAAACAAGAGUGGCAGAAGGUUUCUGAUAACUUGGGCUCUGAACUUGAAAUAAAUCCAACUCUGGAAGGGACAAAGCUAGUCUUAUCUUUGAGUUACAAUGAUCUGCCAUACCAUCUGAAGGCUUGCUUCUUGUAUCUAAGUAUCUUUCCUCAAAAUUAUGUGAUCAAGAGGGGACCUUUGGUGAGAAUGUGGAUAGCCGAAGGAUUUGUCACCGCAAAACAUGGACUUAGUAUGGAGGAGGUUGCUGAAAGAUACUUUGAUGAGUUCGUCGCCAGAAGCAUGGUGCAUCCUGUGAAAAUUGAUUGGAGUGGUAAGGUGAGAAGCUGUCGAGUUCAUGAUAUAAUGGUUGAAGUCAUCAUGUCCAAGUCACUUGAGGAGAACUUUGCAUCCUACUUCUGUGAAAAUGGAACCACACUGGAUUCCCAUGACAAAAUCCGGCGCCUCUUCUUCCAGAGCAGUAGCCACUUAGUGCAGAGAACAAGUGCUAGUGUAGCUCAUGUUCGCACAUUUAGAAUGUCACCUUCCAUGGAGGAAAUCCCAUUCUUCUUCGCACACUUGCGGCUGUUAAGAGUGUUGGAUAUGCAAGGCAGUAGCUGCUUGAGCAACAAGGAUUUAGACUGUAUCUGUAACUUUUUCCAACUGAAAUACCUAAGCCUCAGAAAUACCAGUAUUUCCAAAUUGCCGAGAUUCAUAGGUCAUCUAAAUUACUUGGAGACACUAGAUAUCAGAGAAACACUUAUCAAGAAGCUACCAAGUAGUGCCAAGAGCCUGGUACGUCUGAAGCAUUUGUUAGUUGGACAUAAGACACAUCUUACUAGGACAGGUAGUGUGAAGUCCUUCAGAAGAUCCUCUGGUCUAGAAAUGACACCUGGGGUUCUCAUGAACAUGGCAUCCCUUCAAUCAGUAUGCCAUAUAGAGAUAAAAAAGGACCCAUCAGUGUUCCAGGAGAUAAGCUUGUUAAGAAAUCUAAAGAAGCUGAAUGUUCUCUUCCAUGGGGUAGAGGUAAACUGGAAACCUUGUCUGGAAUCAUUAAGCAAUUUGCCAGGAUCUGUGCGCUCGCUUUCCAUUCAAAUAUUUGAUGGAGAUGGAAGCAUCUCAUCGGAGGAAAUGCUAUCUUCAGUGGAGUCACCCCCUCUCUUGGUUACAAGCUUUGGCCUGACGGGCAAGCUGGAGCGCUUGCCUCUGUGGGCAGCAUCACUUAGAAACGUCUCGACGUUUACUCUUCGCAACAACGGGCUCCACGCCGACGCCAUAGACGUCCUUGGAGACCUGCCAAGUCUGCUCUGCCUCAAGCUGUAUCACAAAUCAUAUGCCGAUGACUGCCUCAUAUUCCCGCAGGGUAAAUUUUUGAAAGUCAAGCUAUUGGUUAUUGACAACUUGGAGAACAUUGACAAGGUGUGCUUCAAGGAUGGUUCUGUGCCGUGUCUUGAAAGGCUUACAUUGUCAUUCCUACGGGAACCCAAGCACGGGAUCUCUGGUCUUGAGAACCUUCUGAAGCUGAAGGAGAUAGAGUUCUUUGGUAACAUCUAUUCCUAUCGGCCGUUGUUAGGAGCUAGGGUUCAGGCUCCUCUAGAUCGUAGGUGGUAG